RNAcentral lists this ribosomal RNA (430 nucleotides) under uncultured bacterium. RNAcentral describes it as "partial 16S ribosomal RNA". It matches the Rfam family "Bacterial small subunit ribosomal RNA", at positions 354 to 796 of the family's 1533-position model. The record is from RNAcentral.
GUGGGGAAUAUUGCACAAUGGGCGCAAGCCUGAUGCAGCAACGCCGCGUGAGGGAUGACGGCCUUCGGGUUGUAAACCUCUUUUAGCAGGGAAGAAGCGAAAGUGACGGUACCUGCAGAAAAAGCACCGGCUAACUACGUGCCAGCAGCCGCGGUAAUACGUAGGGUGCAAGCGUUGUCCGGAAUUAUUGGGCGUAAAGAGCUCGUAGGCGGCUUGUCGCGUCUGCCGUGAAAACCUCAGGCUCACCCUGGGGCGUGCGGUGGGUACGGGCAGGCUAGAGUGCGGUAGGGGAGAUUGGAAUUCCUGGUGUAGCGGUGGCAUGCGCAGAUAUCAGGAGGAACACCGAUGGCGAAGGCAGAUCUCUGGGCCGCUACUGACGCUGAGGAGCGAAAGCAUGGGGAGCGAACAGGAUUAGAAACCCUUGUAGUCC